AAGAAUCAUGGUAGCCUUUUCUUCCCCACUGUCAAUAGAUGGUGUGGAAAAGCCAUAACUCUAUUUUAGAGCACAUACUUUGCCUCCUGAGGAUCCCAGUUUCAAUCAGUGUCAUCUGCAGAAGGGUGAGGAGGAACUUCUAGAGGAAACUCUGCAGGAGAUGAACCUCUAGAGGAGCAGCAGGAUAAUGCAAGUGUUUUGGCUUUACAGGUGUUCCGAGCCCAUACUUAUGGGGAGGUAUUGCUGCAAGCCUUUUCCUGCUUAUCUUGUUGCUAUUGGUCUUUGUAUGGUACAAAAAAAGGAGAAAAGGCUCCAUAACCAACGAAGACAACCCAGCGGUGAGCACGGCCUUAACAGCUGAUGCUGGAGAACACCUGGAUGAAGUCUCCUAUGCUGUUUUGCAUCACCAGCCACAGAAAACCCAACAGGCCACCAAUCCUGGCAAAACCUCUGAACUUUGCUUAUAUGCAACAGUGGCCACAACUACAACUGCAAAGAAGCAAUAGGCAGAACUUUUCAGGCAUGGAUGUCGUAUUAUAGGACCUUGGGGGACUUGAGUCAAACAUUACCAAGAACGUCUUAUUUUUAUUUCCCCACAGUCAUGCAGAUAGACAUGUAACUGUAGAUGCCAAAUAUAAGGGCCAGAUCUUACCGGUGGCUCCAGAAAUGCGAUCAUCAGAAUGCUCUUGACUACAGUACUUAGGACAACGGUGGAGACUGGUGAAGCAAUUCACUCUGUGAAACCAUCAGGUGCCAUGGAGCAGUAGUAGAAGCCAUGUGGAGCAUUGGAGUGCUGGCAUAUGGGAGGUGGUUCCCUGGGCAUUGAGGCACACGCUCUUCGCAUAUCACUCUUGCAUCCAUCAGUAAACUCACUUAUAGGAAAUUGAAGGAAGUUGUUGACGCUGAAAUCUACUCCUGAUCUGUGGCAAUGGUUCCUUCCCAUAUGCUCUUAGUCAAUCUUUGAAUUAGUCUUUUUUGAGCAAAGUGGCCAGGACAAAGAUUUUCAAAAAGUGUUGUCAUAUUAUUUAUAACACAGCUUCCAGGCCUUUUUCCCCUUGUCCUUUCCCCUCUUUUUCACUGUUGUACUUGUCCAUUUUUAAGACUCUGUUGAUCUUUUGAUGCUAUUGCAUGCCUUUGUAUUUUAAUUUCCUUCAUUGGUUUGUCAUAAUAAAAUAAAUCUUGA
This is a non-coding RNA of Python bivittatus (Burmese python), 1183 nucleotides long. NCBI's taxonomy places the organism in Eukaryota, Metazoa, Chordata, Lepidosauria, Squamata, Pythonidae. The record is from RefSeq and is a predicted model, not a curated record.